RNAcentral lists this ribosomal RNA (491 nucleotides) under uncultured bacterium. RNAcentral's name for it is "bacterial SSU rRNA". It matches the Rfam family "Bacterial small subunit ribosomal RNA", at positions 28 to 517 of the family's 1533-position model. The record is from RNAcentral.
GAUGAACGCUAGCGGCAGGCUUAACACAUGCAAGACGAGGGGCAGCACGUCUUCGGAUGGUGGCGACCGGCGCACGGGUGCGUAACGCGUAUACAACCUACCUUAUAGAGGGGAAUAGCCCAGAGAAAUUUGGAUUAAUGCCCCAUAGUAUUAUCGAAUAGCAUUAUUUGAUGAUUAAACAUUUAUGGCUAUAAGAUGGGUAUGCGUUCUAUUAGCUAGAUGGUAAGGUAACGGCUUACCAUGGCGACGAUAGAUAGGGGUCCUGAGAGGGAGAUCCCCCACACUGGUACUGAGACACGGACCAGACUCCUACGGGAGGCAGCAGUGAGGAAUAUUGGACAAUGGGCGAGAGCCUGAUCCAGCCAUGCCGCGUGCAGGAAGACGGCCCUAUGGGUUGUAAACUGCUUUUCAUACGGGAAGAAACACUCCUUCGUGAAGGAGCUUGACGGUACCGUAAGAAUAAGGAUCGGCUAACUCCGUGCCAGCAGCCG